Molecule: ribosomal RNA, 254 nt
Filed under: uncultured bacterium
Lineage: Bacteria
Description: partial 16S ribosomal RNA
Rfam family: Bacterial small subunit ribosomal RNA
Source: RNAcentral
GACAGAGGGUGCAAACGUUGUUCGGAAUUACUGGGCGUAAAGCGCGUGUAGGCGGUCAUCUAAGUCGGGCGUGAAAUCCCACGGCUCAACCGUGGAAGUGCACUCGAAACUGGAUGGCUAGAGUCCUGGAGAGGAAGGUGGAAUGCUUGGUGUAGAGGUGAAAUUCGUAGAUAUCAAGCGGAACACCGGUGGCGAAGGCGGCCUUCUGGACAGUGACUGACGCUGAGAUGCGAAAAGCGUGGGGGAGCAAACAG